Molecule: ribosomal RNA, 484 nt
Filed under: Diaperinae sp. UPOL ZL0108
Lineage: Eukaryota; Metazoa; Arthropoda; Insecta; Coleoptera; Tenebrionidae
Description: partial 16S ribosomal RNA
Rfam family: Archaeal large subunit ribosomal RNA (bases 358-484)
Source: RNAcentral
UUUAAGGUCUAACCUGCCCUAUGAUUAUUUAAAUGGCUGCAGUAUUUUGACUGUACAAAGGUAGCAUAAUCAUUAGUUUUUUUAUUGAAAGCUGGAAUGAAAGGUUGGAUGAAAAAUUUUCUGUCUCUGACUAAGUUAUUAAAAUUUUAUUUUUAAGUAAAAAAGCUUAAAUUUUUUAAUAAGACGAGAAGACCCUAUAGAGUUUAAUAAAAAUAAUUAAUUUAGUUUUAGAAAAUUUAUAUAUUUUUGUUUUUAUUUUGUUGGGGUGAUGGAAAAAUUUAAUUAACUUUUUAUUAUUUUUACAUUUAUAAGUGAUUAUUUGAUCCUUUUAGGAUUAUAAGAUUAAGUUACCUUAGGGAUAACAGCGUGAUUUUUUUGGAAAGUUCAUAUUUAUAAAAAAGUUUGCGACCUCGAUGUUGGAUUAAAAUUUAUUUUUGGUGUAGUAGCUGAAUAAUUAGGUCUGUUCGACCUUUAAAAUUUUACA